RNAcentral lists this unclassified non-coding RNA (2129 nucleotides) under Anthonomus grandis grandis. RNAcentral's name for it is "uncharacterized LOC126737964". The record is from RNAcentral. Lineage: Eukaryota; Metazoa; Arthropoda; Insecta; Coleoptera; Curculionidae.
UUUGGAGUCGAGAUAUUUGUGUUUUGAAGUGAAGUUUUUGUCAGUGUAUGUGCUUACACCUACCAAAAACAAAAUUAUACAAAUUAUAAUAACCAAUUAAAACGCUGCGUCCUAGUUUGGCUGUAGUUUGUUUACCUUGAACAUUUCCAUAAUGGCUUUUGAGUGCCAUAUAUGUAAAAAGUCUUUUGGAAAGAAAUCCAAUUUUAAUAGACACCUUGCAGAAGUUCAUAAACUAAAUAAACCUUCUAGUAGUGAUAGUAAUAGAAAACUGGGAAACAAUCGCUGCUUGGAACAAGGAGAUGAUGACAGUCUUUGUGGCAUUAUUUUUUCAAACAUAAAAUCUCUAAUUGAGCAUUUACAGAUCACUCAUAAUAAGAACUUUAAUAUUGAGUUGAAUCAGAUGGAGAACAUGCAAGGUAUGAUCAGUCUAAAACACAAAUAAAAUUGAGUUUAUUUUUAGAAUUUACACAAUGGAAAAUCAAAAUAGAGGCUCAAAAUAAAUGUUGUUACAUUCUGAAAUCAAAGAAAUCUAGUACAAGUGGUGAAGUACUACAUUAUAUUUGCAAUAGAAGCAAAGCAAGUUAUACACCACUUUUCAAUGAGUGCAGAAAAAGACUGCAAAAAAGUCAAGGGUCAUGUAAAUUAGAGCACAACUGCACCAGUUUUAUUAAUAUGAAAAAUGAAAGUGGUGCCUUACUGGUUGAAUGGCAAAAAGAACAUUACGGCCACACAAACGAUUUGGAGCAUAUAAGAAUUCCUUCACAUGAAAAAGAAAGUAUUACCUCCAAACUCAUAAGUGGAGUUCCUCCUCGAAGGAUUUUGGAAACAAACCAAGAUAGAAUUGGAACUGACUUAAAAAGAAUUGAUCUUUUAACGCAUCAAGAUAUCAAAAACAUUGAUGCCAGCUUUGGAGUUGAAGGAAAAGAUGGAAAUGGAAGUAAAGAAGAUGCAUUCUCAGUUGAGUUAUGGGUCAGAGAAUGUGAAGCCUGGGAUGUAAAUCCCGUUUUAUUUUAUAAGCGAUAAGGGCAAGAGCAUGCCAUUCUAAAGAAAGAAGAUUUUUGUCUUGUGAUUAUGAACAACUUUCAAAGGAAUAUGAUCAAAAAACUUCAAAAAAUUAUUACUGUUGACAGCAUGCAUGGCUUGAAUUCAUAUAACUUUGAAUUGACCACUGUAAUGGUAAUAGAUGAAUAUCACCAUGGUUUUCCCAUUGCUGAAAUGUUUUCAAAUAGAAAGAAUACCACCAUUCAACAUCUCUAUUUUUCUCUUAUAAAGGAAACAGUAGGUGAAGUUUGUUCUGAAAUAUGCAUGUCAGAUAUGGACGAAACAUUUUUUAAUGCAUGGAUUAUGGUGAUGGGAGUAAAAUCUGACCACUUGUUUUGCUCUUGGCAUGUAGACAGGGCGUGGCAAAGUAAUCUUACUAAGAUUGGUGAUAAGCGUGCUUCUGUUUAUAAACUGUUAAAAACUUUACAACAACACACAGUACUAGAUCAUUUUUCCUCAGCUUUAGCAAGUGCCAUGCAAAAUUUAUGCAGUGAUCCAAGCACUAAAAAAUUUGGAGAGUAUUUUAAAAAUACUUACACUCAUAAUAAUUAUAAAAAAUGGGCUUAUUGUUUUAGAGAACAUUCUUCCAUUAAUACGAAUAUGCAUUUAGAAUCAAUGCUUAAAGUCAUUAAAUAUUUUUACUUAAAGAGAAAAACAGUGAAGCGUUUGGAUAAAGGGUUAAAUGUUGUCUUACAAUAUGUGAUAUGGGAUUAAUCAUUUUAUUGCUAAAUCUGUAUCACCCUCACAUGAUCAUGAGUAUUUUUAAUUUUGUUAUGAAAUAAUUUCAGCCUAACAAUUAGACUUAUAUACUAUAUACAGGGUAAACUUGUGUAUCUGGGAUCUUGUUUGGAAAUAGUUUGCUGUGCGAUUUAGUAAUGUAAUGGUAGUAAAUGAUGUAGGUUUAGUUUUAUGAUGUUAUCAUUAGUUAACUAGAUACAAUAAACCAUUUUAAUGUUAAAAAAAUUCCUACUAAAUGCUAAAUGUUUAAACCUUUUUUUAUUUUAUUUAAAGAGUGUUCUACAAUAGAAUUAAUAUUCCAUUUUAUUUAUUAUAUUAAAUUUUUUUAUAAAACAUACAAACAUGUGUAU